CUACGGGGGGCUCCAGUGAGGAAUAUUGCACAAUGGGGGGAACCCUGAUGCAGCAACGCCGCGUGGAGGAUGACGCAUUUCGGUGUGUAAACUCCUUUUAUAUGUCAAGAAAAUGAUGGUAGCAUAUGAAUAAGCACCGACUAACUCCGUGCCAGCAGCCGCGGUAAUACGGAGGGUGCAAGCGUUACUCGGAAUCACUGGGCGUAAAGGACGCGUAGGCGGGUUGGAAAGUCAGGUGUGAAAUCCUACAGCUUAACUGUAGAACUGCACUUGAAACUUCUAAUCUAGAGUAUGGGAGGGGGAGAUGGAAUUAGUGGUGUAGGGGUAAAAUCCGUAGAUAUCACUAGGAAUACCUAAAGCGAAGGCGAUCUCCUGGAACAUUACUGACGCUAAGGCGUGAAAGCGUGGGGAGCAAACAGGAUUAGAUACCCCGGUAGUC
RNAcentral lists this ribosomal RNA (439 nucleotides) under uncultured bacterium. Its description in RNAcentral is "partial 16S ribosomal RNA". It matches the Rfam family "Bacterial small subunit ribosomal RNA", at positions 339 to 795 of the family's 1533-position model. The record is from RNAcentral.